Molecule: long non-coding RNA, 188 nt
Organism: Octopus sinensis (East Asian common octopus)
Lineage: Eukaryota; Metazoa; Mollusca; Cephalopoda; Octopoda; Octopodidae
Exons: 3
Source: RefSeq, a predicted model, not a curated record
UUUAAUGCUUAUUUAUUCAUAUUGUUUUUAAUUAAUAAUGCAUUAUCUUGAAGCUUCAUUAUUUUGAUGAGAUGAAUGUUCAUAUUUAGAAUGACAUUGUAGGUUAUGUGUGAAAGGCUGUAUCUGGUUGGUUUGAAGCUAAAACAAGUAGAAUAUUUGGGCCAGAUUUGGCAUGUUUACAUGCUAAC